RNAcentral lists this transfer RNA (77 nucleotides) under Gammaproteobacteria bacterium. RNAcentral describes it as "tRNA-Pro". It matches the Rfam family "tRNA". Rfam says of the family: Transfer RNA (tRNA) molecules are approximately 80 nucleotides in length. Their secondary structure includes four short double-helical elements and three loops (D, anti-codon, and T loops). Further hydrogen bonds mediate the characteristic L-shaped molecular structure. tRNAs have two regions of fundamental functional importance: the anti-codon, which is responsible for specific mRNA codon recognition, and the 3' end, to which the tRNAs corresponding amino acid is attached (by aminoacyl-tRNA synthetases). tRNAs cope with the degeneracy of the genetic code in two manners: having more than one tRNA (with a specific anti-codon) for a particular amino acid; and 'wobble' base-pairing, i.e. permitting non-standard base-pairing at the 3rd anti-codon position. RNAcentral also lists the same sequence under 1 other name. Lineage: Bacteria; Pseudomonadati; Pseudomonadota; Gammaproteobacteria. The record is from RNAcentral.
CGGGGAGUAGCGCAGCCUGGUAGCGCACCUGCUUUGGGAGCAGGGGGUCGCUGGUUCGAAUCCAGUCUCCCCGACCA